RNAcentral lists this ribosomal RNA (400 nucleotides) under phytoplankton environmental sample. RNAcentral describes it as "partial small subunit ribosomal RNA". It matches the Rfam family "Eukaryotic small subunit ribosomal RNA", at positions 587 to 990 of the family's 1831-position model. The record is from RNAcentral.
AGCUCCAAUAGCGUAUAUUAAAGUUGUUGCAGUUAAAAAGCUCGUAGUUGGAUUUCAAGCGUUUGGAGCGGCGGUCUCGCAAGAGCACUGCUGCACUGAUGCUUUAUUUUGUGAGAUUCCUCGCUGGCAUUAAGUUGUUGGUGGGGGUUUGUCUUGCAUCGUUUACUGUGAAAAAAUUAGAGUGUUCCACACAUGGCUAACGCCUGAAUACAUUAGCAUGGAAUAAUAAGAUACGACUCGAGUGGUCUAUUUUGUUGGUUUGCACAUUUGAGUAAUGAUUAAUAGGGACAGUAGGGGGUAUUCAUAUUUCAGCGUCAGAGGUGAAAUUCUUAGAUCGCUGAAAGAUGAGCUAAGGCGAAAGCAUUUACCAAGGAUGUUUUCAUUAAUCAAGAACGAAAGU